AGGGAGUUUUGUCAGUUGCCCUAAAA
This 26-nucleotide non-coding RNA is filed under the name Homo sapiens (human). Lineage: Eukaryota; Metazoa; Chordata; Mammalia; Primates; Hominidae. The record is from RNAcentral.